AAGACUAUAGACCUGCGGAGUACCUGCGGAGGGAUCAUUAUCGUAGGGCUUCUGCCCUGUCGAGAUAGCGUCCUUGCCUAUUUUUUGGAGUACCUUUUUGUUUCCUCAGCAGGCUUGCCUGCUACUGGGGACCCCUUAAACUCUUUGUAAAUACAGCAUCUGUCUGAAUAAACAAACUAAAAAUCAAAACUUUCAACAACGGAUCUCU
RNAcentral lists this unclassified non-coding RNA (208 nucleotides) under soil metagenome. RNAcentral's name for it is "partial contains 5.8S ribosomal RNA, internal transcribed spacer 2, and large subunit ribosomal RNA". The record is from RNAcentral.